Molecule: long non-coding RNA, 659 nt
Filed under: Elaeis guineensis (African oil palm)
Lineage: Eukaryota; Viridiplantae; Streptophyta; Magnoliopsida; Arecales; Arecaceae
Description: long non-coding RNA (EGUI_LNC041859)
Source: RNAcentral
CCUUACGAAAGCAAAGGUGUGCACCAUCUGUCCCAAGAACAAAGGUCUUAAAAAAGGAGAAAGAAAAAAAGAGAAGAAAAAGUAAAGGAUGAAGAGAAAGGGCUCACUAAAAUAAUUCCAAUUAUGCUAGAAUCCAGUGCAUCCUCCAUCGAGUAUGUCUUCCACAUCUCCCAAUGUUAGGAAAUGUGUCCUAAAGUCAAUCGUUGGACGAUUGUGCUCUUUGUAAUUUGUAUAUAAAUUAUAAAUUAAUAAAAAUUAUUUGAUAUUUUUCAUCACAAAGUAUACAUCUUUCUUGAUAGAACUCAUGUGUUGUGAUGAAGUCUUUAGAACUAUAUGAUAAUCGAUAAAGAAAGAUUUAUUGAAUAGUUCUUAAACAUAUUCGCGAUCAAAUGAUACGUCAUUAAAAGACGAUGACAUUUAUUAAGUGUAGAUCAUUGUGUGCCAUAUAAGUUGGUUGUCCUCUUAACCAAAGAGUGUGAGAUACUGAUAUGACAUACAGAUGAGAUAUAAGAGUACAUCAUCACUGAAUAAGUGACUCACUUGCGGAGCAUUCUGCUGUCAAGCGCUGCUCGUGAAGAAUAUGGACAUAAAUAUCUCUUAGACCUGAGAUCACCACGGUGACUUGCAAGCAACUCAUUGUGCUUUGGUGUCGGACUAUC